Molecule: ribosomal RNA, 506 nt
Filed under: uncultured bacterium
Lineage: Bacteria
Description: partial 16S ribosomal RNA
Rfam family: Bacterial small subunit ribosomal RNA
Source: RNAcentral
AGUGAACGCUGGCGGUAGGCCUAACACAUGCAAGUCGAACGGCAGCACAGGAGAGCUUGCUCUCUGGGUGGCGAGUGGCGGACGGGUGAGGAAUACAUCGGAAUCUACUCUGUCGUGGGGGAUAACGUAGGGAAACUUACGCUAAUACCGCAUACGACCUACGGGUCAAAGCAGGGGAUCUUCGGACCUUGCGCGAUUGAAUGAGCCGAUGUCGGAUUAGCUAGUUGGCGGGGUAAAGGCCCACCAAGGCGACGAUCCGUAGCUGGUCUGGGGGGAUGAUCAGCCACACUGGAACUGAGACACGGUCCAGACUCCUACGGGAGGCAGCAGUGGGGAAUAUUGGACAAUGGGCGCAAGCCUGAUCCAGCCAUACCGCGUGGGUGAAGAAGGCCUUCGGGUUGUAAAGCCCUUUUGUUGGGAAAGAAAUCCAGCUGGCUAAUACCCGGUUGGGAUGACGGUACCCAAAGAAUAAGCACCGGCUAACUUCGUGCCAGCCGCCGCCGUAA